UCGGCUUUGCCUUGCGUGGAGGUUUCGACGUACUCUCGAUAGAGCGAGCGUCUUCCACCCUAGAUUGAGUUCCUAGCGGGUAGUCCAAGUGAGAACCUGUGCCCCUUUCGAGGGGGUCAGCUGUAGCCCGGAGGCGUCCUCAUAAAGCAGGGUCGACGUGGUCGGGGAUACCGGUCUCAUUCGAUAGAGUCCAGCGGCUCGAUGCCUCCCUUCGGGGGGAUUCCUCUCGACUGUCUCGACCCUACCUUGGACAUCGCCAGUGAGUCCUCGAGGCGGGCCUCGAUUUUCGACCACUCGCUGGGGAUCCCUGACUCUUGGUGCUCGAGAUCGGCUGUCGAACCCUUUCGACGGGCCAGCCAUCGACCUCUCAAGACUAUCGUGGGCGCAUACAUUGGCUUACGAAGUAAGGAAACUGCCGUGCCGGUUCGUCUUUCUGCCCGUUGGGCGCACCUUUUGAGGUAAGUGACGUUGCGACACUGUAUCGG
This 485-nucleotide long non-coding RNA is filed under the name Sorghum bicolor (sorghum). RNAcentral's name for it is "long non-coding RNA (SBIC_LNC014444)". Lineage: Eukaryota; Viridiplantae; Streptophyta; Magnoliopsida; Poales; Poaceae. The record is from RNAcentral.